This 429-nucleotide ribosomal RNA is filed under the name Gemmatimonadota bacterium. Its description in RNAcentral is "Gemmatimonadetes bacterium partial 16S ribosomal RNA". It matches the Rfam family "Bacterial small subunit ribosomal RNA", at positions 355 to 776 of the family's 1533-position model. Lineage: Bacteria; Pseudomonadati; Gemmatimonadota. The record is from RNAcentral.
UAGGGAAUCUUCGGCAAUGGACGAAAGUCUGACCGAGCAACGCCGCGUGAGUGAAGAAGGUUUUCGGAUCGUAAAACUCUGUUGUUAGAGAAGAACAAGGACGUUAGUAACUGAACGUCCCCUGACGGUAUCUAACCAGAAAGCCACGGCUAACUACGUGCCAGCAGCCGCGGUAAUACGUAGGUGGCAAGCGUUGUCCGGAUUUAUUGGGCGUAAAGCGAGCGCAGGCGGUUUCUUAAGUCUGAUGUGAAAGCCCCCGGCUCAACCGGGGAGGGUCAUUGGCAACUGGGAGACUUGAGUGCAGAAGAGGAGAGUGGAAAUCCAUGUGUAGCGGUGAAAUGAGUAGAUAUAUGGAGGAACACCAGUGGCGAAGGCGGCUAUCUGGUCUGUAAAUGACGCUGAGGCACGAAGGCGUGGGGAGCAAACAGG